Molecule: long non-coding RNA, 293 nt
Filed under: Homo sapiens (human)
Lineage: Eukaryota; Metazoa; Chordata; Mammalia; Primates; Hominidae
Description: non-protein coding lnc-ITGA1-5:1
Source: RNAcentral
AUCACCAUCAUUCCAUGCAAGAAGCUCUGCAACGACAUAGCAGACAGUGUCAUGGAUCUCAUGAAGUAGAUUCAAAGAGUCUCCAGGAGAGGCAUCUACAUUAUGCUGCAGAAGGAGGAGAAGGAGAGGGAGAUAAUUAUGUUUCUGAGGUCUCAGCCCUGGAUCAAAAGAUAAAUGAAAUAAAUCUUGACACUUAGAAAAUGCCAAAGCUGUUGGACUUUGGCAGUCUGUUUAUCCUGCAGGUCAGUCAGCACAUAGCUGGAAUGAGUUUUCAAACACCACUUGGAGCUAUU